This is a non-coding RNA of Podarcis lilfordi (Lilford's wall lizard), 76 nucleotides long. The record is from the annotation of a GenBank genome assembly. Lineage: Eukaryota; Metazoa; Chordata; Lepidosauria; Squamata; Lacertidae.
GGAAGGUCCAUAGCUCAGUGGCAGAGCAUCUUUCCUUGCAUGCAGAAGGUCCUGAGUUCAAUCCCUGGUAUCUCCA